GACGAACGCGGCGGCGUGCCUAAUACAUGCAAGUAGAACGCUGAAGCUUGGUGCUUGCACCGAGCGGAUGAGUUGCGAACGGGUGAGUAACGCGUAGGUAACCUGCCUGGUAGCGGGGGAUAACUAUUGGAAACGAUAGCUAAUACCGCAUAAUAGCAGUUGUUGCAUGACAACUGUUUAAAAGGUGCAAUUGCAUCACUACCAGAUGGACCUGCGUUGUAUUAGCUAGUUGGUGGGGUAACGGCUCACCAAGGCGACGAUACAUAGCCGACCUGAGAGGGUGAUCGGCCACACUGGGACUGAGACACGGCCCAGACUCCUACGGGAGGCAGCAGUAGGGAAUCUUCGGCAAUGGACGGAAGUCUGACCGAGCAACGCCGCGUGAGUGAAGAAGGUUUUCGGAUCGUAAAGCUCUGUUGUAAGAGAAGAACGAGUGUGAGAAGUGGAAAAG
This 451-nucleotide ribosomal RNA is filed under the name Streptococcus sp. oral taxon E98. Its description in RNAcentral is "bacterial SSU rRNA". It matches the Rfam family "Bacterial small subunit ribosomal RNA", at positions 28 to 464 of the family's 1533-position model. The record is from RNAcentral. Lineage: Bacteria; Bacillati; Bacillota; Bacilli; Lactobacillales; Streptococcaceae.